RNAcentral lists this ribosomal RNA (425 nucleotides) under uncultured bacterium. Its description in RNAcentral is "partial 16S ribosomal RNA". It matches the Rfam family "Bacterial small subunit ribosomal RNA", at positions 354 to 796 of the family's 1533-position model. The record is from RNAcentral.
GUGGGGAAUAUUGGACAAUGGGCGCAAGCCUGAUCCAGCCAUGCCGCGUGAGUGAUGAAGGCCCUAGGGUUGUAAAGCUCUUUCACCGGUGAAGAUAAUGACGGUAACCGGAGAAGAAGCCCCGGCUAACUUCGUGCCAGCAGCCGCGGUAAUACGAAGGGGGCUAGCGUUGUUCGGAAUUACUGGGCGUAAAGCGCACGUAGGCGGACAUUUAAGUCAGGGGUGAAAUCCCAGAGCUCAACUAUGGAACUGCCUUUGAUACUGGGUGUCUUGAGUAUGGAAGAGGUAAGUGGAAUUCCGAGUGUAGAGGUGAAAUUCGUAGAUAUUCGGAGGAACACCAGUGGCGAAGGCGGCUUACUGGUCCAUUACUGACGCUGAGGUGCGAAAGCGUGGGGAGCAAACAGGAUUAGAUACCCUAGUAGUCC